Molecule: ribosomal RNA, 254 nt
Filed under: uncultured bacterium
Lineage: Bacteria
Description: partial 16S ribosomal RNA
Rfam family: Bacterial small subunit ribosomal RNA
Source: RNAcentral
UACGGAGGGUGCAAGCGUUAUCCGGAUUCACUGGGUUUAAAGGGUGCGUAGGUGGCUUUGUAAGUCAGUGGUGAAAGCCCGGAGCUCAACUCCGGAACUGCCAUUGAUACUGCUUAGCUUGAAUCACGUCGAGGUGGAUGGAAUAAUACAUGUAGCGGUGAAAUGCUUAGAUAUGUAUUAGAACACCGAUUGCGAAGGCAGUUCACUAGGCGUGUAUUGACACUGAGGCACGAAAGCGUGGGGGAUCAAACAGG